CAAAAUAAUAGCUUAAUUAAAGCACCUUGCUUACACCAAGAUGAUGUUUACUAACCUAAACUAUUUUGUAUAUAG
Molecule: transfer RNA, 75 nt
Filed under: Eleutherodactylus richmondi (Richmond's robber frog)
Lineage: Eukaryota; Metazoa; Chordata; Amphibia; Anura; Eleutherodactylidae
Description: tRNA-Val
Source: RNAcentral